GGGUCCGGACACACUGAGGAUUGACAGAUAUAUAUACACCGUCGGUACUUGUAUCGCGGUGUUGAAAGAUGCUAGUUCUUUCAUGAUUAUGUGAUAGGUGGUGCAUGGCCGUUCUUAGUUCGUGGAGUGAUCUGUCUGCUUAAUUGCGUAUCAUAAAAAGAGACCUAGUAUACGCGUAAGAUAUCGUUUACGGCUCGUGACCCCCUUCGGGCGUGUGUCGCACGUACGUAUCAUACGCACAGGUCUCCGAUAGCAACGAACGUGACCGUACUCUACUGUUGCAGCGAAUGUAUGCAUCUUCGGGUGUAUCUACCGCUGCUUAGCAUAUUUCAUGCCUCGUGCGUGUGUAUGCAUUAAACUAUAGAGACCGCUGUAUUUUUUUUAAACCAGAGGAAGGAUACGGCAAUAACAGGUCUGUGAUGCCCUCAGAUGUUCCGGGCUGCACACGUGCUACAAUGAUCAUUGCACUGUGCAUCUAACCCAAUGUGCGUGGACGCCACGGUAUGUAUUUAUGCUUCGGCGUAGUAUAUAUCAGUUGGUCGGCCGCGCCGAGCCUACUUCGAAAGUAAAAUUUCUCAGUGGGU
RNAcentral lists this ribosomal RNA (584 nucleotides) under Ammonia sp. genotype T1. Its description in RNAcentral is "bacterial SSU rRNA". The stretch from base 1 to 454 matches the Rfam family "Eukaryotic small subunit ribosomal RNA", at positions 1220 to 1501 of the family's 1831-position model. The record is from RNAcentral. Lineage: Eukaryota; Foraminifera; Rotaliida; Rotaliidae.